This 702-nucleotide ribosomal RNA is filed under the name Pseudorhodeus tanago (Tokyo bitterling). RNAcentral describes it as "partial 12S ribosomal RNA". It matches the Rfam family "Bacterial small subunit ribosomal RNA", at positions 518 to 1521 of the family's 1533-position model. Lineage: Eukaryota; Metazoa; Chordata; Actinopteri; Cypriniformes; Acheilognathidae. The record is from RNAcentral.
CGGUUAUACGAGAGGCCCCAGUUGAUAAUAUCACGGCGUAAAGGGUGGUUAAGGAUUGAAAUUUAAUAAAGUCCAAAUAGCCUUCGGCCGUCAUACGCUUCUAGGUGUUAGAAACCCAAUCUGCACGAAAGUAGCUUUAGCUAUAUCCACCUGACCCCACGAAAGCUGAGAAACAAACUGGGAUUAGAUACCCCACUAUGCUCAGCCAUAAACCCAGACAUUUAAGUACAAUCACAUGUCCGCCAGGGUACUACGAGCAUUAGCUUAAAACCCAAAGGACCUGACGGUGCCUCAGACCCCCCUAGAGGAGCCUGUUCUAGAACCGAUAACCCCCGUUAAACCUCACCACUUCUGGUCAUUCCAGCCUAUAUACCGCCGUCGCCAGCUUACCCUGUGAAGGUAAUAAAAGUAAGCAAAAUGGGUACAACCCAGAACGUCAGGUCGAGGUGUAGCGCACGAAGUGGGAAGAAAUGGGCUACAUUUUCUACUACAGAACACUACGAAUACGCAACAUGAAAUAGUGCUUGAAGGAGGAUUUAGUAGUAAAAAGGAAAAAGAGUGUCCUUUUGAACCCGGCUCUGAGACGCGUACACACCGCCCGUCACUCUCCCCUGUCAAAAUGCAAUAAGCAUAUUUAAUACCAAAGCGCCGACAAGGGGAGGCAAGUCGUAACAUGGUAAGUGUACCGGAAGGUGCACUUGG